Long non-coding RNA from Carassius gibelio (silver crucian carp), 1605 nucleotides. RefSeq lists it as uncharacterized. The record is from RefSeq and is a predicted model, not a curated record. The transcript is spliced from 4 exons. NCBI's taxonomy places the organism in Eukaryota, Metazoa, Chordata, Actinopteri, Cypriniformes, Cyprinidae.
AUGAUGCGGUCUGUAUGACCGGUCAUCUGUAUGAUCAGCUUCUGUAUGACCAGUCAUCAGCAUGCUGGCCAUUCUCUUAUGCAUUGCAUCUCGACCUGACGAGUCACUCUAUGUCUUAUGUUUUUACUUAAGUUUAACUAUUUCUGAUGGCAAGAAUGGCUGUUUUAGUGUUAUUAUCAACAUUGUUGUUUCAUAGAUAAACAGAAUAUGAAAUAUUGAUAAAUGUAAAGGCAACCAAACAGGCGUCACAAUUCACAGUCUGAUUGGGGACCAUUUUUACACUUUCUCAAUCCUUGACUCUUGGUCAGGAGCCCUUGGCGUCAAUCUUUAGUUUGUCCAUUUAGUGCAGUUUGUCCAUGUGCAGGGUAUUUCACUGGUUUCAUUGAGAUACCUUUGCAUCAACAGACACUGUGGACAGGGACAUUUAUUACGUCAGUUUUGAUGUCUUUUAUCUCAAACUCAAAUUCAGCUGUAUUUUAUGAUGACUGUGUUUAUGGAGUGGAAUUAUUUUCAGUUAUUAAUACCUCAAUGUUGAAACUUUUCACAUAAACUUAUUGUAUGACUUCAGAAGACUUUGAAUACAACACAAAUACUUUUAAUACUUUUAUAAUAUUUUUUUUAAAAAUCCCUGAUUAUUUUUCAAGCUACAUAAUCUAAAAGCAAACCAAUCCCAGUCAAAGUGACUUGUUUUAAAGAAUCCCCACAUCCCCCAAUUCCCCCAGCAGUGUCUGGUAAACUGAUUGUGCUCUCUUCUUAUAUGCUAAUAACACUAAUGUCUCCACAUUAUCACCUGGCCCUUCACAACAACAGUACCAACAGUAUCCGGGCUAACUGAGUCUCAUCCAAUCACGCUCCAGAUAGCUGGGUGGGGUUAUAUAUAUACUGUUUUCCUGACAGAAUCUUCAUUGAUUUUUUUUAUUUUUUUGUGAAAUAAAAUUCUAAAACCUUGAAGGACAAACAGCUUUUUGAGAUUCCUACAUUGCCUACAAGGGACCACAUACAACAAAGCCUACUAAGGCCAUUUCUCAUCUCUUUUUUCCAUUCAAGACUGAAAAGAAAAUGAGACCCAGAAGAGUCUGUCCUGAAAAGGAAGCUUUGAAAUUCAUCGCAUCUGGGAAAGAUAAAGACAUAUUUCAGUCAAGAGUCAAGAGAACGAUUGUUGAUGAACAGAAAAGAGCAGAUUUGUGUGCAUUUGUGACCACAAACAUCACUGCAGGAGAAGAAAUGAUGUUGGACUGCGGAGAUCCUGACAGCUCAUGGAGACAGGUAGCAGGAUGCUUGGUCCAUUACAUCCUGACGGAUGGACAACACCCUUAUAAGACCACUACACCCUACACCCAGGAUCCACUUGGUCUGUCUCUACAUGUCAGAACGAGUAACUUCAGUCUUCAAUGGGAUGAAAGACUAAACAUAUCUUAAGCAGAAUGAUGAGCAAAUCAGUGGAAGAGCAUCCUACUAUUGAGGAAAGCCUUCAGGAAGUCAAAACUAUGUGCAAAGACUUAUUGUAGAGUUUACAAUAAGCAUUAAAAUGAUUGGAUAUUAGUAUUAGUGUGAAUUUACAGGUUUCGAUCACCAGUCUUAUCAAAUAUCAACCACAAGCAGCUA